GGUGAGUAACGCGUAAGGAACUUGCCUCUUGGACUGGGACAACUGUUGGAAACGACAGCUAAUACCGGAUAUUAUGAGAUUCUCGCAUGAGAAACUUAUGAAAGCUAUAUGCGCCAAGAGAGAGCCUUGCGUUCCAUUAGCUAGUUGGUGGGGUAACGGCCCACCAAGGCGACGAUGGAUAGCCGGCCUGAGAGGGUGAACGGCCACAAGGGGACUGAGACACGGCCCUUACUCCUACGGGAGGCAGCAGUGGGGAAUAUUGGACAAUGGGCCACAAGCCUGAUCCAGCAAUUCUGUGUGCACGAUGAAGGUCUUCGGAUUGUAAAGUGCUUUCAGUUGGGAAGAAGAAAGUGACGGUACCAACAGAAGAAGCGACGGCUAAAUACGUGCCAGCAGCCGCGGUAAUACGUAUGUCGCAAGCGUUAUCCGGAUUUAUUGGGCGUAAAAGCGCGUCUAGGCGGAAAAAUAAGUCUGAUGUUAAAAUGCGGGGCUCAACUCCGUAUUGCGUUGGAAACUGUUUUUUCUAGAGUACUGGAGAGGUGGGCGGAACUACAAGUGUAGAGGUGAAAUUUCGUAGAUAUUU
Molecule: ribosomal RNA, 583 nt
Filed under: uncultured bacterium
Lineage: Bacteria
Description: bacterial SSU rRNA
Rfam family: Bacterial small subunit ribosomal RNA
Source: RNAcentral